ACAUUUUAGUNAAGCGANCNAGGGAACUUCGGUUCCUGAGUAGAGCGGCGGACGGGUGAGUAACACUUGGGUAAUCUGCCCUCGGGUGGGGAAUAACUCAGGGAAACCUGGGCUAAUUCCGCAUGAUAUUUCCGAUGUAUACGUAUUGGAAAUCAAAGCUGGGGACCCUUCGGGGCCUGGCGCCUGAGGAGGAGCCCGCGGCCAAUUAGCUUGUUGGUGGGGUAAUGGCCCACCAAGGCUCCGAUUGGUAGCCGGCCUGAGAGGGCGGACGGUCACACUGGGACUGAGACACGGCCCAGACUCCUACGGGAGGCAGCAGUGGGGAAUUUUUGUCAAUGGGGGAAACCCUGAACAAGCAACGCCGCGUGGAGGACGAAGACCCUCGGGUUGUAAACUCCUGUCGGAGGGGACGAANGUGUUGGUGGUUAAUACCCAUCGAUAUUGACGGUACCCUACGAGGAAGCCCCGGCUAACUCCGUGCCACAGCCCGCGGUAAUACGGGGGGGGCAAGCCGUUGUUCGGAAUUACUGGGCGUAAA
This 538-nucleotide ribosomal RNA is filed under the name uncultured bacterium. RNAcentral describes it as "bacterial SSU rRNA". It matches the Rfam family "Bacterial small subunit ribosomal RNA", at positions 53 to 564 of the family's 1533-position model. The record is from RNAcentral. RNAcentral also lists the same sequence under 1 other name.